UUUCCAGACUCCUACGGGAGGCAGCAGUGGGGAAUAUUGCGCAAUGGGGGAAACCCUGACGCAGCAACGCCGCGUGCGGGAUGAAGGCCUUCGGGUUGUAAACCGCUUUCAGCAGGGAAGAUCCAAGACGGUACCUGCAGAAGAAGCCCCGGCUAACUACGUGCCAGCAGCCGCGGUAAUACGUAGGGGGCGAGCGUUAUCCGGAUUCAUUGGGCGUAAAGCGCGCGCAGGCGGGUUGCUAAGCGGGACCUCUAAUCCUGGGGCUCAACCUCAGGCCGGGUCCCGAACUGGCAGCCUCGGGUUCGGUAGGGGAGAUCGGAAUUCCCGGUGUAGCGGUGGAAUGCGCAGAUAUCGGGAAGAACACCGAUGGCGAAGGCAGAUCUCUGGGCCGCAACCGACGCUGAGGCGCGAAAGCUAGGGGAGCGAACAGGAUUAGAUACCCUUGUA
Molecule: ribosomal RNA, 447 nt
Filed under: uncultured bacterium
Lineage: Bacteria
Description: bacterial SSU rRNA
Rfam family: Bacterial small subunit ribosomal RNA
Source: RNAcentral